Molecule: ribosomal RNA, 301 nt
Filed under: uncultured bacterium
Lineage: Bacteria
Description: partial 16S ribosomal RNA
Rfam family: Bacterial small subunit ribosomal RNA
Source: RNAcentral
CAGUCGCCGCGGUAAUACGUAGGGUGCAAGCGUUAAUCGGAAUUACUGGGCGUAAAGCGUGCGCAGGCGGUUUGUUAAGACAGAUGUGAAAUCCCCGGGCUCAACCUGGGAACUGCAUCUGUGACUGCAUCGCUGGAGUGCGGCAGAGGGGGAUGGAAUUCCGCGUGUAGCAGUGAAAUGCGUAGAUAUGCGGAGGAACACCGAUGGCGAAGGCAAUCCCCUGGGCCUGCACUGACGCUCAUGCACGAAAGCGUGGGGAGCAAACAGGAUUAGAGACCCGAGUAGUCCCUGUCUCUUAUAC